UCUUACGGCUAUUCACACCAGAAAGCACCAUGUCCCUUCAGAUUUUUAAAGUUAAGCUGGUGAUGGCUUCAUCAGUACUGUGGUGGAGGACCACUCGUGAAUACGACGUGCCGCAAGUA
This 119-nucleotide ribosomal RNA is filed under the name Smittium mucronatum. Lineage: Eukaryota; Fungi; Kickxellomycota; Harpellomycetes; Harpellales; Legeriomycetaceae. The record is from RNAcentral.